This 73-nucleotide transfer RNA is filed under the name Paramuricea clavata. It matches the Rfam family "tRNA". Rfam says of the family: Transfer RNA (tRNA) molecules are approximately 80 nucleotides in length. Their secondary structure includes four short double-helical elements and three loops (D, anti-codon, and T loops). The record is from Rfam by way of RNAcentral. Lineage: Eukaryota; Metazoa; Cnidaria; Anthozoa; Malacalcyonacea; Plexauridae.
GCCUCUGUAGCUCAGUUGGUUAGAGCGCUGCACCGGAAUCGCGGGGCCGUAGGUUCAAUUCCUACCAGAGGAC